AGUGAACGCUGGCGGUAGGCCUAACACAUGCAAGUCGAACGGCAGCACAGUAAGAGCUUGCUCUUACGGGUGGCGAGUGGCGGACGGGUGAGGAAUACAUCGGAAUCUACUUUUUCGUGGGGGAUAACGUAGGGAAACUUACGCUAAUACCGCAUACGACCUACGGGUGAAAGCAGGGGAUCUUCGGACCUUGCGCGAUUGAAUGGGCCGAUGUCGGAUUAGCUAGUUGGCGGGGUAAAGGCCCACCAAGGCGACGAUCCGUAGCUGGUCUGAGAGGAUGGUCAGCCACACUGGAACUGAGACACGGUCCAGACUCCUACGGGAGGCAGCAGUGGGGAAUAUUGGACAAAGGGCGCAAGCCUGAUCCAGCCAUACCGCGUGGGUGAAGAAGGCCUUCGGGUUGUAAAGCCCUUUUGUUGGGAAAGAAAAGCAGCAGGUUAAUACCCCGCUGUUCUGACGGUACCCAAAGAAUAAGCACCGGCUAACUUCGUG
Molecule: ribosomal RNA, 492 nt
Filed under: uncultured bacterium
Lineage: Bacteria
Description: partial 16S ribosomal RNA
Rfam family: Bacterial small subunit ribosomal RNA
Source: RNAcentral